RNAcentral lists this ribosomal RNA (484 nucleotides) under uncultured bacterium. RNAcentral describes it as "partial 16S ribosomal RNA". It matches the Rfam family "Bacterial small subunit ribosomal RNA", at positions 30 to 507 of the family's 1533-position model. The record is from RNAcentral.
AUUGAACGCUGGCGGCAGGCCUAACACAUGCAAGUCGAGCGGAUGAAGGGAGCUUGCUCCUGGAUUCAGCGGCGGACGGGUGAGUAAUGCGUAGGAAUCUGCCUGGUAGUGGGGGAUAACGUCCGGAAACGGGCGCUAAUACCGCAUACGUCCUGAGGGAGAAAGUGGGGGAUCUUCGGACCUCACGCUAUCAGAUGAGCCUAGGUCGGAUUAGCUAGUUGGUGGGGUAAAGGCCUACCAAGGCGACGAUCCGUAACUGGUCUGAGAGGAUGAUCAGUCACACUGGAGCUGAGACACGGUCCAGACUCCUACGGGAGGCAGCAGUGGGGAAUAUUGGACAAUGGGCGAAAGCCUGAUCCAGCCAUGCCGCGUGUGGGAAGAAGGUCUUCGGAUUGUAAAGCACUUUAAGUGGGGAGGAAGGGCAGUAAGUUAAUACCUUGCUGUUUUGACGGUACCAACAGAAUAAGCACCGGCUAACUUCGUG